Long non-coding RNA from Gorilla gorilla gorilla (western lowland gorilla), 312 nucleotides. RefSeq lists it as uncharacterized. The record is from RefSeq and is a predicted model, not a curated record. The transcript has 4 exons. Lineage: Eukaryota; Metazoa; Chordata; Mammalia; Primates; Hominidae.
ACUAAGACGUGUAUGGAAACUUGAAAUACAAGAAGAGAAUAUGAAGAAGUAAGACUAGAAAAGAACUCAUCGCCUGUUGGGGUGACCACAAGGACUUGGUUGACAAUGGAUGUGACUUUGUUCUGAGAGUGCCUUUGUUUAGAAUGAUAACUGACUGAUAAUUGGAGACCAUCCUCAUGACUAUAACGUGAACUCCUCGGUGCACCUUUUUCAGAAAGGAACGUGAGUGAGGCUACAGAGGAUUAAGGAGAACAUUCUUCCCUUUGCAAACGAAUGGUAGAGGCCGGGCGCGGUGGCUCACGCCUGUAAUCC